GCUUACGGCCAGACGCCUGGUUCACGCCCGAUCUCGUUUGAUCUCGGAAGCUAAGAUAGGUUGGGCCUGGUUAGUACUUGAAAAGGAGACCGCCUGGGAAUACCAGGUGCUGUAAGCA
Molecule: ribosomal RNA, 118 nt
Filed under: Scophthalmus maximus (turbot)
Lineage: Eukaryota; Metazoa; Chordata; Actinopteri; Pleuronectiformes; Scophthalmidae
Source: RNAcentral